GAAGCCUCAAAUAUCUGAAUCUAGUUGGGUAGUUUAUUAUUUUAUUAAAUAUAUAUCCAAACAUACAAUACAAUAAGAUACUCGAUUUGUCUACUACAUUAUGUGUCACUUGUAAAUCAUGGUAUAUCUUCAGUUUCUAAAUUUCAUAUGUAAUGUGAACUUUGACUUCAAAUCUAUGUGUAUUGUAAGUUUUGACUUCUUAAUUAAAGAUCUCCAUGGUUCCAGUUUUGGGGUUAUAACAAGUCAAAUAAUGUCCAAUACACCUAUCCAAUACAAAUUGUGCUUGUCUCUAUGUUGGUGCUUUUCUCGUCUACUUCCUGAAAAUUUCUUUCGUUUAAUUCUUGAUCCUUGAUUUGAGUUCUUACCUUAUUUAGAUUGUAUCCUCAUGUUUGUGCCAUAUGACCCAAUAUCUGGUUCGUCAUAGAUCAUACUAAACUUAAAGCAAUUCUGUAAGUAUUUGUGUAGUCAAAUGCUCCCCAUUUUUGUCUAGACUAUGCAUGAUGGAAUAUUUGUUUUAUUUAUUUAGUUCUUUCCAAAAUAUUAGCUAAGGUUUGUGCUAAGAGAUCUUUACUCUAUCUAUUUGAGGAUUAAUGUCCAAUACAAUUACAUGUAGAUACAGAGAAUAAAACAGUCUUGAUUGUUGAAAGCAUCAAACAUGCUGGAUGUCGAGAUGGAAAUUCUUAGUGUAAGUUCUUUUUCACAAAAGAAGUAUGAUUGAGAUUAUAUUUGAGUGUCCACAUUAACAUUUACAAAUUGCCAUCAUGGUGCAAAAUGUUUAAUAUGGUGGGUAUGAAAAGACAUGACUAUGACAGAGACUGGUAGGAACUGAUUAGCAUUAAACAAGUUUAUAGCCAACGGUAAUACGAAACAUACAAAUUUCACUUCAUAUUUUGUUAUUCUAGUUGUGGUUUGUGUCACUGAUUUUCAUAUUUUUAUUUAUCUCUCUGUGUUUCUGCCUUUCUUUCUUUUCUUUUUUCUUCCUUUUUCAAUUGACUUCUGUUUUUGCCUUUUCACUUUUCUUCUUUUUUCCUUUGCUUCUGUGAUGGUAAGCAUUUGUUUAGUUGUCCCUCCUUCUUAGUUUUAUACUACUGCUGUUUUAAAAGUUUUAACUUACUCUCUAACUGCCGCCUCCCUUUUUUUCUUCUUAUUUCACUUCUUACACGACUGUUUUCUGCAGCUGCUUUUACACUGGAUAAUACUAUUUAGGGGUAGUAAAUCUUCUUAUUGAUUGACACUCCCUUUAUAUAAAACAUGACAACAAAUACCCGUCACUUCUCUAAGGUAUUUGCCUUGUGCCUCAUGUAUCAUGUGUCAUCCCUCGUGCAUCGCAGUUAGUCUUCAGUAGAGCUUUUAGCUCCUUAGUACUCCUUGCGCCCUUGGUAACUUUAAUGUGGCUCCUUAUAUGAUAGGCUUGCUUUAAUAGAAUAGAUCAUGCUUUAUGAUUAAGCAAGUAUGUAGAUGGUGAUUAUGUUAGCAAUCUAAGUAUACUGCAGUUAGAUGCACUUGAAAGUGACACCAGUUGAAGUUAUUGUGUAUGAAGUUGAUGGACCAGUUUAUCGUUGCUCACAUCACUUAUGGUUCUCUAGUUAAGCUUUUGACACUUCCCUUUGUUUAUUCUUGAUGUCCCUAUGCUCGGUUUUUCAAGUCGCUUCUUUCUUUGCUAAUCCAACAGGACAAAUGAAUUUGUAUGUCUUGUAUACUAAAUGAAUUAACCUAUCUGAUGAUUGAUUAUUUGCAUUUCAGUGAACUGCUGAUUUUAGAUUAAAUUUUAAGUUCUGAGUUCAGACUGGUUAUGGGAAAUAUUAGUUCAAAGUUCCUUUUGAGUUUUGACCACUAUUUUUUGCUUCAUUUACUAUUUUGAUAUUCCUAUUCUAUAGAUUUUCAACAAGUUGCAUCUCUCUGUCAUGGUUUGGUAAGUCAUAUCCAAGAUACUGGAACAGACUGAUUCAUUGAUCUCCUUCAAUAAAAUGUGGCUUGUGCAUGUAGGUUUUAGAUCCCCACUUGUAUUAUUAAAGAUUCAUCACUAUCAUAACUGAUCUUGUACCAUCUACAGCCUGUAUAGUAGGAUAACGCAGGACUUAUUCAUAUCGAGAAGGGAGCAGAUCCUUGUUGCAUUCAGCCUCAGCUUGUAUUUGUUAACAUAACAUUAAAUUGCAUGCACUUCUGGCAGCAAUUCUUAUCUGUUCUCUGAUAGUUUGUUUGAUAUGAAUCAGCACUGUCACUUCCAGUCUAUUCAAUAUUCAUGUUGAUUUUGUGGAACAAAUUCUUGUUAAUGACAAAGUCCUAGUACCUCAUCAUUUUGCGGGCCUGCAUAUGUGCACAGCAUGAAGCUUGAAGGUGAAACCCACUGCAAAAUUUUGUUUACAUAAGAGUGUCUGUUGUAGUUUGAUAUCUGUUGAUGUUUGCAGCAUGUAACUGGAAUAACCAUGAUGGAUUUUUGUUCAUCGUCUUUCUUUACCAAGGUAACAUUUUGAUGUCUAACGUUAAUGUGCUCCUUGUCUCUUGAAGUAUUAAGCAUAAAUUUUCAGUAUUUAUAUUCCUUGUGCUUUGUUUCCAGUCAUAAUAUGGACUUGUUUUAUGGAAGAUUGGUUGGGUAUAAUAUUGAUUAUCUCAACUAGUUAAAAUUUUAAAUCUUGAUAGCCUCAAAUCCUACCAAGAAAUAAAAACUUUUUGCUUAUUGUUUGUACCGUCCUAUCUUAAUUGAUCAACUUGAACCUGAGAUAGUUAUGUGAUGGUUCUUGUUUAUGUCCUCGACUUGAAGGUGGAGUUGAGCUCAAAGAACCACUUCUCGGCAUUGUACUUCCCCGUAGAUGAUUUUUCUGUGAAUCAGUAACAGUAUCAGCUUAUGGCUGUUUCUUUAAUUGCAAUUGCAACAAGUAUAAUCCUGUAGAUAAUUCCUUUUUUGUGAAGGUUUUUGUAGUAUGUAUUGACUGAACUGGUGAUUUACAUAAACAAAUAGACCUUAAUAUCAUGUUUGUUUUUCUUAGUGACCAUUGACAUUGUUCAGAUCAUUAUCUCCAGAAUAAUAUUACAGCACGAGAAGUCAACAAAGUAGAGACAUGUAAAACUCCCCUCAAGCAUCAGACUUCUCAGCCACUUCUGUUUGCUUGUUGACCCUGCUUCUGAGUUCUUCAAAAGCACGCAUGCUUUCUGCAUCAAAUCCUCCAGCAAACUGCAAGUUCACACAAAAUGAGUCAUGACAUGAAAGAAACAGGUGUGUUUUACCUUGUGAAUUAUCAGCUCUUCUAGUUGACGUUUUUAUCAUGAGACAAGCAUGAGAACUUUACCUGAUGGACCCGGAAUGCAAAUCUUACACCUUGCAGAACCAAAAACUCUCUGUUUGGCUCUUUGUCGCUGCCACUGAGAGCAUCAAGUUCUGAAGAAACCCUCUUCAUGUACUUCCUUGCUAGCUGAACUGUUGACAGUUUGAUCUGCCAAAACAUCCGUAUGUCUUUGAGCUUAUUCUUAUUUCCAGCUCUUCAAGAUCAUAAUUGAAGCACAAAGUAUGUUGUUAGAUUAAUCUUUAUAUGGUUCACUACCUUGCCCACCACACCAGAGUCCAGCAGCCAAUCAGUUGGAAUCCCGAACUCCCUGUAACGAGCAAUUGCCAUGUCUCGAGUUCGCAGCAGUGCAUACACACUUUGCUCCAUUCUGC
This 3655-nucleotide long non-coding RNA is filed under the name Musa acuminata (dwarf banana). Its description in RNAcentral is "long non-coding RNA (MACU_LNC007128)". The record is from RNAcentral. Lineage: Eukaryota; Viridiplantae; Streptophyta; Magnoliopsida; Zingiberales; Musaceae.